Molecule: transfer RNA, 72 nt
Filed under: Camelus bactrianus (Bactrian camel)
Lineage: Eukaryota; Metazoa; Chordata; Mammalia; Artiodactyla; Camelidae
Also listed under: 1 other name
Rfam family: tRNA
About the family: Transfer RNA (tRNA) molecules are approximately 80 nucleotides in length. Their secondary structure includes four short double-helical elements and three loops (D, anti-codon, and T loops). Further hydrogen bonds mediate the characteristic L-shaped molecular structure. tRNAs have two regions of fundamental functional importance: the anti-codon, which is responsible for specific mRNA codon recognition, and the 3' end, to which the tRNAs corresponding amino acid is attached (by aminoacyl-tRNA synthetases). tRNAs cope with the degeneracy of the genetic code in two manners: having more than one tRNA (with a specific anti-codon) for a particular amino acid; and 'wobble' base-pairing, i.e. permitting non-standard base-pairing at the 3rd anti-codon position.
Source: Rfam by way of RNAcentral
GGGGGUAUAGCUCAGUGGCAGAGUACAGUGCUUAGCAUGCACGAGACAUGGGGUCAAUCCCCAGUACCUCCA